This 301-nucleotide ribosomal RNA is filed under the name uncultured bacterium. Its description in RNAcentral is "partial 16S ribosomal RNA". It matches the Rfam family "Bacterial small subunit ribosomal RNA", at positions 509 to 809 of the family's 1533-position model. The record is from RNAcentral.
CAGUAGCCACGGGAAUACGAAGGGUGCAAGCGUUACUCGGAAUUACUGGGCGUAAAGCGUGCGUAGGUGGUUGUUUAAGUCUGUUGUGAAAGCCCUGGGCUCAACCUGGGAAUUGCAGUGGAUACUGGGCGACUAGAGUGUGGUAGAGGGUAGUGGAAUUCCCGGUGUAGCAGUGGAAUGCGUAGAGAUCGGGAGGAACAUCCAUGGCGAAGGCAGCUACCUGGACCAACACUGACACUGAGGCACGAAAGCGUGGGGAGCAAACAGGAUUAGAUACCCCAGUAGUCCCUGUCUCUUAUAA